Piliocolobus tephrosceles (Ugandan red Colobus) is the source of this 3949-nucleotide long non-coding RNA. Lineage: Eukaryota; Metazoa; Chordata; Mammalia; Primates; Cercopithecidae. The record is from Ensembl.
AUGAAUAAUUUUAAUGUAGACAAAUAUGAUGCAUUUCAAUAUAAUAACAUUAAUAUUGAAAGUAAUAAAAAUAAAAAUAAUAUGAAUGAAAAAAAAUAUCAAUCAGCUUAUUAUUCUUUUGUAAAAAAUGAUGAUUAUGGUAGUAAUAUAUAUAAUAAGAAUAGUUCAUAUUAUAGGGAUAAAAAAAAAGAAGAUAAACAUAAUAAUACUACUAAACAUAUAAAUAUAACAAUAAAUAAAGAGUUAGUAGAUACCUUAUCAAUUGAAGAACUUUUAAAAGUUUUAGAAAAAUAUGAUAAAAUGGGAGUACAUAAAGAAAUGAACGGAAUAGACAACUGUGAAGAAAUGAAUAGAACAGACAACUGUGAAGAAAUGANNNNNNNNNNAAAAAAAGAAAAAGUAUAUACAUAUAUAAAAAAACAUGAAAAUACGGAAAUGUUGUCAUACGAAAAUAUUUUAAACGAAGUAAACAUAGUAACAGCAUAUCAUAGAAUAGCUAAACACAUUAAAAAUAAAAAUUAUUUUAUUAAUAAAACUGCAAAAGAUGAAAAAGAAAUAAUUGGUACAUGCUAUGAUGAUAUAACUUUUAGUUUGUUUAAAAAAUAUACAAAUAUAAAUAAUGAAAAGAGUAAUACUUUUAAAUAUACAAAGUCUUCUUUAGGCAAUACAUAUGCGACUGUCAGUGAUGGGUCUGUAAGUAAUGGAGCUGUAAGUGAUAUGACUGUAAGUGAUAUGACUAUAAGUGAUAAUAAAAAAAUAAACAACUCCGAAUGUAAUAAAAAAAGUUUAACUUUACAUGACUUAACAAACUAUGAUCAUACCAAUUUAUGUAACAUAAAUAUUUAUAAGAAUAUAUAUAUAUUGUUAAAAAAAAUGUUAAUAAAUAAUAGUAUAGUUACAUCGAAACAUAUUGCUAAUAUAACAUGGGCUUCGUGUAUUUUAUCAAAUGAAGAUGAUGCAUUAUGGUUAAUUAUUAAAAAAAUUUUUUAUAAAGAUAUAAAUAAAUUUAAAGCUCAAGAAGUGUCAGCUAUUUUAUGGUCAUUUAGUGCAUCGAAAAAAAGUUUUAUCGAUUCGGAUGAAGAGUUUAUAAUUUUAUAUAAAUGUUUAGAAGAUCAUAUAAUAAAUAAAACAUUCAAACCCCAAGAGUUUAGUAAUAUAAUGUGGGCUUUUGCAGUAUCUAACUAUUGUAAUUAUGAUUUAAUAGUUCUUUUAUAUAAUUAUGCAUUAGAAAUGUUUGAUAAUUUAUUGUUUAAAGAUAUAGCAACUGUCUUAUAUAGUUUAUCUAUUUUUGCAUCUGAUUCAAUAAAUAAAAAUAUUUUAACUGCUAUUAAAUUUAAUCAUUUGGAGCAAUAUAGGUUUGUAUAUGAUUAUUUAACAGUUGGGAAAAAAAAAAACACACAAACAGAAAUGGGUGAUAUAAAUAAAGGUAAAGAUAUACAUAAUGUGUCAGUAAAUGAUAAAAACAAUGAACCAUCUAAUACAAAUAAAUGCAAACAGAAUUUUACAUAUUUUAUUAAUCCAUUUGAUGAAGAAAAGAAAUAUCAAGUGAAUAAUUUAAUAUAUGACAAUAAAUUGAAUGAAAAAAAAUAUACAUUUUUUUUAUUAUUUGAAAACUUUUUAUUAUAUUCUAUGAAUAAAAUAAAAAAAGAAAAAGCUAAAAUAACUAUGCGAGUAUGGGCUAAUUUGUUUUGGUCAUGUGCAAGUAUAGGGUUAGGUUUAUAUACAGAUAAUUAUACCCAACACCCGUUGAGUUAUUAUUUAUAUUUUUUACAGAAUGAAGAAAUUGAUUCGGUAGUUGAUGGUGGUAGUAGUGGUAGUGGUGGUAGUAGUGGUAGUGGUGGUAGUAGUGGUGGUAGUAGUGGUAGUGGUAGUGGUAGUGGUAGUGGUAGUGGUAGUGGUAGUGGUAGUGGUAGUGGUAGUGAUAGUGGUAGUGGUAGUGGUAGUGGUACCAGUAGUAACAGUAGUACCAGUAGUAACAGUAGUACCAGUAGUACCAGUAGUACCAGUAGUACCAGUAGUACCAGUAGUAACAGUAGUAACAGUAGUAAUAGUAGUACCAGUAGUAACAGUAGUACCAGUAGUACCAGUAGUACCAGUAGUAACAGUAGUAACAGUAGUAAUAGUAGUACCAGUAGUAACAGUAGUACCAGUAGUAAUAACACAAAUAAAAUAACAUAUGUAGAAGAUACAAAUUUUAUUUAUCAUUUGUUUGUUAACGAAAAACAGUUCAAAAAAAUUGAUACUGUAAAUUAUAUUAUAAGUUCUAAAAACAAAAAUAUAAAUUAUGAUAAAACAAAUCCAGUUCAUAUUUUUAAACCAUAUGUUUAUAUUAUUAACAAGUCAUAUAUUUUUCCAUUAAAUAAUUUUUUUUAUUCUCAAAACAAAUUACCUAUAAAUAAAGAUACAACGUUAAGUGAUAUAAGCUUAUGUGUCGAUUUGGAUUUGUUUAAUUAUGGGUCGAAUAAAAUAAACUUAAAAACUAACUCAACUGGGGUCAUGAGUGAUAAGACAGAGACAAUAACUAAUGAAGUAACAAAUAAUAUACGAACUGUUUUAACUAAACAAAAUGGCAGUAAUGGCAGUAGUGGUGAUAGUAAUGGCAGUAGUGGUGACAAACCGAACGAAAUUAAUUAUUCUAAAUUUAUGAGCGCAUUAAACAAUAAAGGAAUAAAUAAGUACGAAACAAUUAAUAAGAAUAAAAUAUUACUAGAUUUGCUUACUGUGUUUGAAGAUGAAAUAAAAGAAAAAAAAAAAAAAAUAAUAAAAAAAUGCGAUGUACAAUCUAUGGCUAACAUAUUAUGGAGCUUAUCAAUUUUAAAUAUAUUUUCAAAAGAUAUAUUUAACAAUUUUAUAACAGAAUGUAACAAAUUAUUUCUUAAAUUUGGUAAAAAGAAAAAUAACACAAGAUUAAAUUAUUUUAUAUCACAGUUACACCAAUCACAAAUAUAUCAAGCGGCAUUUUCGUACUGUCUCUAUUUAUUAAGCAAAGAAGUAUCAGCAAAAAAUUGUAACACAUCGUUGUCUGUGAAAAAUAACCGGAAAACUGACUUGAAAACAAACUCUUUUGCUUUUAUAAAAAAAAAAAUGGAAAAUAUUUUUACAAAUAAAUUAAAAAUUUCAUUAUAUACACUAAAUAUAUGGAAAAAACAAUUAGCUAGAAAUCAAAGAAAAGAAGAAAAAAAUAAUAUAUCAUCUUCAGUACAUAAAAAAAUAUCAAAUGAUUUAAAAAAAUUAAACAUAUACCAUUAUAAUGAAUAUUUUAUUUUUAAUUCAAUUCUGGUUGAUAUAUAUAUACCUGAUUCAAAGCUUGUUAUCGAACUGGAUGGACCUAGCCACUUUUUUCAAAGAGGAAAAAUAAUUGUUUAUAAACCGAAUACUUUAUUUAAAAAAAGAUUACUAAGAGCUCUUGGUUUUAUUGUUAUAUCUAUUUCAAUUACAGAUCAUACAUUCAUGUUUAGUGGAUUAAAUACAGUGGAAAUUACUAAAAAAUUCUUAAAUAAAGUAAAUUGGGGUUAUCCUUAAGAUAAAUGGCGAACAUAUACAUAUACACAUACAUGUAUACGUGUCUGUAUAUAUAUACUUAUACAUGUAUACGUGUCUGUAUAUAUGUACUUAUACAUGUAUNNNNNNNNNNCAUGUCUGUAUAUAUGUACUUAUACAUGUAUACGUGUCUGUAUAUAUAUACUUUUUUUUUUUUUUUUUUUUUUUGUGUUUUUUAAUAUUUAUAAAUAUGUUUAUUUCUUAUGUUUAUAAAAGUAUAAUUCCAUUUGGUUUAAUAACAGUUAUUGGUUUAUAUGUUUUAACACACAGUUUUGUUUGUUUAUUUAAUUACUUAAUUAUUUAACCACUGAAUUAUUUAAUUAUAAAUUCAUCUACUUGUCUAUGUAUCCAUAUAUACAUAUACCCAUAUAUACAUAUAUCCAAUUUUUAAAACACUUUCCAUCACUUA